UACGGAGGAUGCGAGCGUUAUCCGGAUUUAUUGGGUUUAAAGGGUGCGUAGGCGGCUUUUUAAGUCAGCGGUGAAAUUUUGCAGCUUAACUGUAACAGUGCCGUUGAUACUGGGGAGCUAGGAUUUGGUUGCUGUGGGUGGAAUGUGUGGUGUAGCGGUGAAAUGCUUAGAGAUCACACAGAAUAUCGAUUGCGAAGGCAGCUCACAAAGCCAAGAUUGACGCUGAGGCACGAAAGUGUGGGGAUAAAACAGGAUUAGA
Molecule: ribosomal RNA, 259 nt
Filed under: uncultured prokaryote
Description: partial 16S ribosomal RNA
Rfam family: Bacterial small subunit ribosomal RNA
Source: RNAcentral